RNAcentral lists this ribosomal RNA (200 nucleotides) under uncultured bacterium. Its description in RNAcentral is "partial 16S ribosomal RNA". It matches the Rfam family "Bacterial small subunit ribosomal RNA", at positions 8 to 204 of the family's 1533-position model. The record is from RNAcentral.
AGAGUUUGAUCCUGGCUCAGGACGAACGCUGGCGGCGUGCCUAAUACAUGCAAGUCGAGCGGAUCUCAAGGGGCUUGCCCCUUGAGAUUAGCGGCGGACGGGUGAGUAACACGUGGGCAACCUGCCUGUAAGACUGGGAUAACUUCGGGAAACCGAGGCUAAUACCGGAUAAUUCCUUUCCUCACAUGAGGGAAGGCUGA